Brassica oleracea var. oleracea is the source of this 163-nucleotide long non-coding RNA. RefSeq lists it as uncharacterized. The record is from RefSeq and is a predicted model, not a curated record. Lineage: Eukaryota; Viridiplantae; Streptophyta; Magnoliopsida; Brassicales; Brassicaceae. The transcript is spliced from 3 exons.
AAAAAAUCUAGCUGGAAGAAAGGAAUGAGAAACAGGGGAAGAACGAGUGGGUAUGCUUGAAGAAGACUUGGGUUACAGGCCGAGAAAAAAGGUUAAGAGGAAGGAUAUUUAUUACAUGGACAGUUGACGAAGUGACCCUUUCUGUCCCCUAGCCAAAGAAAAG